GCUCAAAUUUGAAAGCUGGCCCCUUUGGGGUCCGCGUUGUAAUUUGUAGAGGAUGAUUCGGCGAGGGCUCCCGUCUAAGUCCCCUGGAACGGGGCGUCAUAGAGGGUGAGAAUCCCGUAUGUGAUGGGUUGCCUUAGCCAUGUGAAUCUCCUUCGACGAGUCGAGUUGUUUGGGAAUGCAGCUCUAAAUGGGAGGUAAAUUUCUUCUAAAGCUAAAUACCGGCCAGAGACCGAUAGCGCACAAGUAGAGUGAUCGAAAGAUGAAAAGCACUUUGGAAAGAGAGUUAAAAAGUACGUGAAAUUGUUGAAAGGGAAGCGCUUGCAGCCAGACUUGUCCGCAGUUGCUCAGCCGGUCUCCUGACCGGCGUACUCUUCUGCGGCCAGGCCAGCAUCAGUUCGGGCGGUCGGAUAAAGACCCUAGGAAUGUAGCUCCUCUCGGGGAGUGUUAUAGCCUGGGGUGGAAUGCGGCCAGCCUGGACUGAGGAUCUCGCUUCGGCUAGGAUGCUGGCGUAAUGGCUGUAAGCGGCCCGUCUUGAAACACGGACCAAGGAGUCUAACAUCUAUGCGAGUGUUUGGGUGUCAAACCCAUACGCGUAAUGAAAGUGAACGGAGGUGGGAACCCUCAGGUGCACCAUCGACCGAUCCUGAUGUCUUCGGAUGGAUUUGAGUAAGAGCAUAGCUGUUGGGACCCGAAAGAUGGUGAACUAUGCCUGAAUAGGGUGAAGCCAGAGGAAACUCUGGUGGAGGCUCGCAGCGGUUCUGACGUGCAAAUCGAUCG
This 777-nucleotide ribosomal RNA is filed under the name Dothiorella viticola. Its description in RNAcentral is "partial large subunit ribosomal RNA". It matches the Rfam family "Eukaryotic large subunit ribosomal RNA", at positions 107 to 904 of the family's 3401-position model. Lineage: Eukaryota; Fungi; Ascomycota; Dothideomycetes; Botryosphaeriales; Botryosphaeriaceae. The record is from RNAcentral.